This 403-nucleotide ribosomal RNA is filed under the name uncultured bacterium. RNAcentral describes it as "partial 16S ribosomal RNA". It matches the Rfam family "Bacterial small subunit ribosomal RNA", at positions 28 to 526 of the family's 1533-position model. The record is from RNAcentral.
GACGAACGCUGGCGGCGUGCCUAAUACAUGCAAGUCGAACGCAGUGGGGACGGGUGAGUAACACGUGGGUAACCUCCCAUCAGAGGGGAUAACACUUGGAAAAAGGUGCUAAAGCGAUACGGAUGGAUGGACCCGCGGGGCAUUAGCUAGUGGGUGAGGUAACGGCUCACCAAGGCCACGAUGCAUAGCCGACCUGAGAGUGUGAUCAGCCACACUGGGACUUAGACACGGCCCAGACUCCUACGGGAGGCAGCAGUAGUGAAUCUUCGGCAAUGGACGAAAGUCUGACCGAGCAACGCCGCGUGAGUGAAGAAGGUUUUCGGAUCGUAAAACUCUGUUGUUAGAGAAGCGGUAUCUAACCAGAAAGCCACGGCUAACUACGUGCCAGCAGCCGCGGUAAUUC